This 711-nucleotide ribosomal RNA is filed under the name Cunninghamella phaeospora. RNAcentral's name for it is "eukaryotic LSU rRNA". It matches the Rfam family "Eukaryotic large subunit ribosomal RNA", at positions 42 to 648 of the family's 3401-position model. Lineage: Eukaryota; Fungi; Mucoromycota; Mucoromycetes; Mucorales; Cunninghamellaceae. The record is from RNAcentral.
AUCAAUAAGCGGAGGAAAAGAAAAUAACAAUGAUUCCCCUAGUAACGGCGAGUGAAGAGGGAAAAGCUCAAAGUUGGAACCUGGUGGGCAUAGCUCACCCGGAUUGUAAACUAAAGUUUUUGAGUCGUUUAGUCAGCCAGGUAAAUAAGUCCUCUGGAAAGGGGCGACAUAGAGGGUGAAAUCCCCGUCUUUGGCCUGAGUUUUGAUUAGGCGUUUGGCUUGGAAACGAAGAGUCAGGUUGUUUGGGAAUGCAGCCUAAAAUGGGAGGUAAAUCUCUCCUAAAGCUAAAUAUUGACGAAAGACCGAUAGCGAACAAGUACCGUGAGGGAAAGAUGAAAAGCACUUUGAAAAGAGGGUCAAAAAGUACGUGAAAUUGCUGAAAGGGAACCGUAUGAAAUCAGACCUACUGGUAGGUAAUCAAUCUUUCCUUUGGGAAGGAUGCACUUGCCUGCUAUGUAUGCCAGCGACAUUUUGAUUGGGAGGAAAAAAAUAGUGGGAAUGUAGCCUGGGCUUCGGCUUAGGUGUUAUAGACCUCUAUAAAAUACUCUCGGUUAGAAUGAGGAACGCAGCAAACCGUAAGGCGAAGAUUUUAGGCGCUUGGGGGAAAUAAUUAGAGAAUUUCUGCUUCGGGUGGUGCUUUAGUUAUUUUUUUCAACUCGUUUGAAUUUCUUUUAAUUUGCUUAGGUUGUUGGCUUAAUGAUUUUAUAUGAC